CAAACAUUUGUGAAAGAAUGGGCCGCUCUCAGGAGCUCAGUGAAUUCCAGCGUGGUACUGUGAUAGGAUGCCACCUGUGCAACAAGUCCAGUCGUGAAAUUUCCUCGCUACUAAAUAUUCCACAGUCAACUGUCAGUGGUAUUAUAACAAAGUGGAAGCGAUUGGGAAUGACAGCAACUCAGCCACGAAGUGGUAGGCCACGUAAAAUGACAGAGCGGGGUCAGCGGAUGCUGAGGCGCAUAGUGCGCAGAGGUCGCCAACUUUCUGCAGAGUCAAUCGCUACAGACCUCUAAAGUUCAUGUGGCCUUCAGAUUAGCUCAAGAACAGUGCGUAGAGAGCUUCAUGGAAUGGGUUUCCAUGGCCGAGCAGCUGCAUCCAAGCCAUACAUCACCAAGUGCAAUGCAAAGCGUCGGAUGCAGUGGUGUAAAGCACGCCGCCACUGGACUCUAGAGCAGUGGAGAAGCGUUCUCUGGAGUGACGAAUCACACUUCUCCAUCUGGCAAUCUGAUGGAUGAGUCUGGGUUUGGUGGUUGCCAGGAGAACGGUACUUGUCUGACUGCAUUGUGCCAACUGUGAAGUUUGGUGGAGGGGGAUUAUGGUGUGGGGUUGUUUUUCAGGAGCUGGGCUUGGCCCCUUAGUUCCAGUGAAAGGAACUCUGAAUGCUUCAGCAUACCAAGAGAUUUUGGACAAUUCCAUGCUCUCAACUUUGUGGGAACAGUUUGGGGAUGGCCCCUUCCUGUUCCAACAUGACUGCGCACCAGUGCACAAAGCAAGGUCCAUAAAGACAUGGAUGAGCGAGUUUGGUGUGGAAGAACUUGACUGGCCUGCACAGAGUCCUGACCUCAACCCGAUAGAGCACCUUUGGGAUGAAUUAGAGCGAAGACUGCGAGCCAGGCCUUCUCGUCCAACAUCAGUGUCUGACCUCACAAAUGCGCUUCUGGAAGAAUGGUCAAAAAUUCCCAUAAACACACUCCUAAACCUUGUGGAAAGCCUUCCCAGAAGAGUUGAAGCUGUUAUAGCUGCAAAGGGUGGGGCGACGUCAUAUUAAACCCUAUGGAUUAAGAAUGGGAUGUCGCUUAAGGUCAUAUGCGUCUAAAGGCAGAUGAGCGAAUACUUUUGGCAAUAUAGUAUAACAAAUGUUUCGGAACCGAAACGUUUGUCAGUAACCUGACCAGGUGGUCAAGACAAAGGUGUACCAUUUUUUACAAGAAAAAGGGAAAGACGGUAAGAUAAUGUUAAAACGAACACUAGAUUUUCACACAGAUGUUCAGACAUAUGACAGAAUUUCUAAUCAAAUUAUCAGACCGUAAAUAAGAUCUUUUGCCAGAUUUGUUCAAAAUGCAUGCUUUUGUAAUCAUACCAGACUCUCCAUUUUGUUUACUGGACUGAGAUCUAUUACAUAAAAUUGGUGCACAAAUAGUUUUUGACAAUGCUUCUCUGCAACUUAUGUUUCCUGUUGUGUAUUCAGUCACUGUGCCUACAGGAGGUGUGGGGGAGAAUGUGAGCAGACAGCAACUGCUGGAGGCUGAUGAAGCAAUAAUUAACCCCAGACUAUGGGCUCAGCACAAAGAUGAACCUGGCCUUAUAGAUGUGAAACCAUAUACAGCUAAAUUAGCUUUAACCACUCCAGUAUACUAUAAGCAAUAUCCACUAUCGAUUGAAAAGGAAGAAGGUAUUAGGACAAUCAUUGAGCAAUUGAUUGAACAAGUGUACCUGUUUCACCUGUCACCCAGCCAUUGUUCGCAUUCACCUACGGUGGCCAACAACAUACACGGAGAAGGUUACAGAGAUUCGCCGGCUGUCUUCUCAGCUGUUGUGCACUGUACAUUACAGGAUGUGAAACUGCCACCUGACACAUGCCUGUUGCAGUAUGCCAACAACAUCAUGGUUACUGCUGAAACAUCAGAGGAUUGCAGAAAAGCAUCAAUUAUUAAUUGAAGCUACAGUGGGUCAAACAAAAGGUUGAAUACCUUGGACAUGUGCUAACAAAGGGGACUGUACGCAUGUCUGCAAUUCGAAUCAAGACAAUUUCGCAACACUGAACAAUGAUGAUGCAAUCCAAUGGACUACGGAAAUGGACUUGGCAUUUAAACAUCUGAAGUAAUGCCUUGGGAAACCACCAGCACUGGGUCUUACAGACUACAGCAAGCCUUUCCAUCUGUACGUGCACGAGGCUGGGGGGACUGCCGCUGCAAUCCUUGCCCAGGAACACGGGGGUUCUUACUGCCCGGUGGCGUAUUUAUCUAAAACUCUGGAUUUGGUUGCAAAGGGCUUCUCUGGUUGUCUGGGAGCAGUUGCUGUACCAGCGAUGAUGGUACAGGAUGCAGAACAAGUUGUGCUGAUGGUACAGGAUGCAGAACAAGUUGUGCUUUCUCAUCCUCUGACUGUGCACACAACUCACCAGAAAAGCCCACUCACCCAUUUGUUCCAAACCAGCAGGUCCUAGUGAAGUGGCUGAAAACAACGAAGCUCGGUGAGCACAAUUAUCUGGGUCCAACAACAGUUCUGGUGGUAACCAGGAUGGGGGUUCUGACAGAUCUGCAACCACAGUGGAUACACGCAAGCCGUGUAAAGCCUGCACCUGGGGAGAGCCUGACUAUUUCGAAAGCGAACGGUGAAAGUACUGGAGGAGCUGAACACGCAGCGCCAGUGCCUAAAUGGGAACUUGAGAAUUAGAUGGGAUGAAGACAUGGAUAGAUGGAUAGAUGAGACAUGGAUAGAUGAUGGUGAUGCACCACAUACCUAUGCUACCAAUUUGUGGUGGAAACUAGCUAACUUUAUGGCCAAAAACAUGGGAAAGAAAGGUAGUCGUUAUGUAUGCAUAUGCUGUACAGUGCAUCUACACCAGCGGUAAAGGUACACUGCUCUGCCGGAAUUGUGGACAAGUAGAUGUGCCAUGGUACAAUUAAGUGACCACACCAUGGUGGUCUGAGCUAUUGAGAAAACAACAAAUAGAAGUAGUCUAAGUCAUCCCAGUACCACACCGAGAGAACACAGAUUAUGGACAGGAACAGAGAAAUUCUUUGGAGCACUGUUCCCACAAGUGGGUGUUACAGUAAUACAGAAAGAAGUUAAAAUGACUAAAUAUGAAUUGAUAUCAUUCAUAAAUUCGACAAAAACAAUGAUUGACGCAGUACGCCAAGAACUAAAAGGCCUAAGAUUAACAGUGCUACAAAAUAGACUGGUCCUUGACCAGUUAACAGCUGCCAGUGGAGGAGCAUGUGUUAUCAUAGGAACGAGUUGCUGUACUUUCAUUACAGAAAACGAUGAAGAUGGACAUUCCAUGGAAAUGGGCCUGAAAAACAUGACGAAGAUAGCAGCGGACUUGACAGUGAGAGAAACUGUAGAUGAUGUCAACGACUUAUUGACACGGUUAAAUGGUUGAAAAAAAUGUUUUUUGAAUGCUUUAAUACCUAAAGGAGUAAUUUUACUUGUUAUAGCAUUACUGAUUUGUUAUGUGAUUCCAUGUGCUAAAGCAUUGGUCAAUAGGACCAUUGAUAAUGCUUUGAAUGCUAAUUACGCUCUGAUAAACCUUGAAGAUGCUGAUAGAGAUGGUUAUGGGACACAUUGGGAGGAAUAUGAUGGUAAUGAGUAAAAGACAGAAUGUAAGGUAAACGAGAUUUGAUUUUUGAAUAGCCAUCUGAGGAACUUGUCUCUUCAAGACAAAAGUGGGCAAUGUGAGAAAUAGGCCUCAGAUGGAACAAUGUGACCUUUUUAUGCUUAUGCUUGCUAUCUGCUUUGUAUGUUUUCGGCACUGUCUUGAGCACAAAAUGUACUUGAUAAGAAUGUACUUCUGUAAACGAGAGGAAACAACCCCAUAUAUGGAGGAUUGGGGGGUGGGGGGUUCAAGGUAAAGGGUUAACCAGCCUUGUGUGACAAGAACCAUAUAACCCCAUGCUUUCUUUUAAUAAAUUAAAG
Long non-coding RNA from Myxocyprinus asiaticus (Chinese sucker), 3918 nucleotides. RefSeq lists it as uncharacterized. The record is from RefSeq and is a predicted model, not a curated record. The transcript has 3 exons. NCBI's taxonomy places the organism in Eukaryota, Metazoa, Chordata, Actinopteri, Cypriniformes, Catostomidae.